GAAUUCGAUUAGAGUUUGAUCCUGGCUCAGAUUGUUUGCUGGCGGCAGGCUUAACACAUGCAAGUCGAGCGGUAGCACAGGGGAGCUUGCUCCCCGGGUGACGAGCGGCGGACGGGUGAGUAAUGUCUGGGAAACUGCCUGAUGGAGGGGGAUAACUACUGGAAACGGUAGCUAAUACCGCAUAACGUCGCAAGACCAAAGAGGGGGACCUUCGGGCCUCUUGCCAUCAGAUGUGCCCAGAUGGGAUUAGCUAGUAGGUGGGGUAAUGGCUCACCUAGGCGACGAUCCCUAGCUGGUCUGAGAGGAUGACCAGCCACACUGGAACUGAGACACGGUCCAUACUCCUACGGGAGGCAGCAGUGGGGAAUAUUGCACAAUGGGCGCAAGCCUGAUGCAGCCAUGCCGCGUGUGUGAAGAAGGCCUUCGGGUUGUAAAUUCACUUUCAGCGUGGCGGAAGGUGGUGAGCUUAUUACGUUAAUCAACGUGACUCCACUCACAAAAGAACCACCGUAUAAGUCCCUGCACCCUACCCUCAGAAUUACGGAGGGUGCGAAACUUAAUCUCAAUUACCCGGAAGCUAAGCGCACGCAGACGAUUUACUCAAUUAAAUAACACCUCAGCUGUAUUUAAACUUUUAAUUUCAUUACAAGUUGGUUAAUUUUCAGUCACAUAAUGCAAUACUCUCAUUACCACCGGAUAUCUAAUUACCUUUCAGAAUGUCAACACAAUGAAGAACACAACCCUUUUGACUAUAAUUGAACCAAGAAACAU
This 771-nucleotide ribosomal RNA is filed under the name uncultured Serratia sp. RNAcentral's name for it is "partial 16S ribosomal RNA". The stretch from base 12 to 558 matches the Rfam family "Bacterial small subunit ribosomal RNA", at positions 9 to 546 of the family's 1533-position model. The record is from RNAcentral. Lineage: Bacteria; Pseudomonadati; Pseudomonadota; Gammaproteobacteria; Enterobacterales; Yersiniaceae.